Molecule: small RNA, 83 nt
Filed under: Marmota monax (woodchuck)
Lineage: Eukaryota; Metazoa; Chordata; Mammalia; Rodentia; Sciuridae
Source: RNAcentral
GCUGGAUAUGGUGGUGGAUGCCUAUAAUCCAAGUUACUAGGGAGGCUGAGGCAGGAGGAUCACAGGUUGAGAGCCAGCCUCAA